AAUAGUUGGUGUGCACUUAUAGUUGACUUCCAAAGGAUUCAUUUGCAAAAGAUUUAAGAGGAUUUAGACAAUGUUUACAGUUCCUAUUUAUGAAGGAGUUACUCAUAUGUGUCUAUUUUUAGAUGUGUUUUUCUCUCUAAAUGAGUUAUGUGUGCUAUUUGUUUCAAGUGACUUUAAAGUAUCCUAUGAUGGUUCUCAAAUCUGAGCCUCAAUCAGAGGCUCUGCAAGAAAACGCUGAAACAGGUUGCUAGGGCACACCCAGAGUCUCUGGUUUGGUAGUUAUGGGAGGAGUCUAAGGAGUUCCACAUCUAAGUAGGUACUGUGUGUUGUUUAUAAGGAGUGCUAUGGUUUGGGUUAAAUGUGAGUCAGGAUCUUUUCUUAUUUUUACCAUCUCGAUUAUUUUGUCAAAGUACAGAAAACAAACAGUGCUAGCAGCUAUCCAUUAGUUCAGUAUGUUUUACUCUUAUAAUUCUUGAAUAUUUAACACAUUGUUGUUUAAAAGUGUAUCCUGUUGUGGUGGACACAGAUGAUGCCAACAGACUUUCGUGCCUGUAGGGGCCAAAACCAAUCGGGAGCUGCCAGCCCCACCUGGACCUGAGUCAGUGGUGGACACAGAUGGCAACCCUCUCAGACUUUUGGGUCUUCAAGGGCCACAAUCAACCAGGAGGCCCCAGCACCACCUUGGCCAUCAUACCAAGUACUAUGUAAGAUCUCCAAGCCCAGGCAUGGGAGAGAGGAAAGGAAACAACUCCAUUCCAUCCCUGUGGCUGGGGCAUGGGGUACUCAAACAAGCACCACUUGUGAUCCAACCAAGAGUUGUUGGGCACCAUUGUCUUGAGAGAGAACAGGAUAGAAAGAGGGAGGGGGGAUGGUUUGUGUGCUCAGAAGUGAUGCAGGUCUGGACAGUUGAGGGUGGUGAAGACCUGGCCACCAGAGUCCAGGGAGAUGUCUGGGUCGAGACUAUGACUAAGACCUAAGUCUUGAACUGUGGUUCUGGAGCAGGCGAGGGGGCCUGCGUUGAUGUCUGUGGCUCCUGUCAUCGCUAGGGCCUGUUUAUGGGUCUGUGGUAUGGGCUGCCACCUGGGCCUACGUUUGUGCCUGAGAGCCCUGCACUGCUGUGGGAGCCAUUCCAAUCUGGGUGGCCUGCACAGCCACCUGGGGGCCAUGGUGACAAUCUGGUCUGGACUCAUGCCUGGACCAUGUCUGGGUCUGGGGUCUUUGUUGAUUUCCCUGGCCCAUGUUGCCACGAGGACCCACAUAGAUGCCUGGGGUCUGAUUCACAACUUGUAAUCAACUGUGUUGAAUGCCAGAGCCAGGCCAAUUUGGGUGACCAAGGCUAUCGGCUAGGAACAUAGUUUAGUCCAGAUCAGGGCUGAGGCCAAAGGCUAUGUCUGGGUCUGUUGUCCUGCCACAUCCAGGAUCUGUUUUGAUGUCUGUGGCUGCUGAGAUCAUCAAAGAUCAUGCCAAGAGUCUAGACAGCCACCUGGGGCUGUAUAUGUGUCUGAGGGGCUCGCUGCUGUGGGGAACAUGUUGGUUCAGGUAGCCUAUUCCAUCACCUGGGACCGUGGUGACAUCCAAGUCCAGGUUGAUGCCUAGGACCAUGUCUGGAUCCAUGGUCCUACCACACUCAGGGCCUGUGGCCCAUGUUGCCAACAAAGGCAACAUAGAUGCCUGGGGUCUGUGCCACAAACUGUGGCCAUUGAGGACAAGGCUGCUACCAGGGACAUCCUAAUCUCAGUGGCCUGCACUGUCACCCUGAGCCACAGUGUUACCUGGGCCAGAGCUACUCUGGAGGGAGGCCAGGGUGUGAGAUGAAGUCUAGAGCUCUUCUUGUCACCAAGGACAACGUGGAGAACCAGGGUCUGGUUGGCCACCUCAGAUAAUGUUGGUGUCUGAAGACCUGGCUGCAGGCAGGGCUAUGCAGAUCUGCAUGGCUGGUGCUGCCACCUGGAGCCAGGGAGACAUCCUAGCGUAACGAACUACUGCCUAGGGUUAUGUCCAGAUUCAUGGUCCUUCUGUAGCUGGGGACCCUGGUGAUGUACAUGCCUGCAUUAGUAUGGGCAGUAGGUUAUCAGAACCAUGCUGUGCUGAACCUGCAUGGCCUAGAAUGGUCUGUCCUUCCCCUCACUGGAUAUUGCCAUAGGGUCAGACAAGCUGCUCUAUCCCUCAGGGGAGAAUUUGUCCUGGCACUCAAGAAAGAUAGUUCUACCAUUCAUAUCAUAGGUGUGCACCUGACCUGGGAAACACACUAGAGCUGACCGUUUGGUCAGAAACCAGGUGAGCUGACCCUGAGGACAUGAGAACAGAAGAUCUAACACCAGUCCCCUCAUCUGUCAUAGGGUGGUAUGGGUGAGGGAAAGAUGACCUCCCCUCUCCCUAUUGCCUCCUAUAGCAGGUGAAAGAGCCCUGAGAUCACAAGAGUAGGAGAGCUAGACCUGACCCUCACUGGUUAUAGCACAUGAGAAAGCAGCAUCUGGUUCCCAUCUGGGCAGCACACUAGAGCUGACCUUGUUGUCAGGGAUGAGGGAAGCCAGUCCUGAGGGUAUGAGAGCAACAGAGCUGACCCCUUCCUCGUCUGCCAUAUGGUGGCAUGGGUAAGGGAAAGAUUGCACCUCUUUACCUAUAGCAAAUGAGAGAGCUAGCCUCAGGGUCGCAAAAGUGAAAGAACUAGCCCUGCCCCACACCAGCUGAAGCACACAGGCAAGAGGGCGCUGCACUCUGUCUGGGCAGCAUACUAGGUCUAAACCUGUUGCGGUUGCAGGUGAGCCAGCCAUGAAGGUGUGAGAGUAGAAAAGAUGAGCCUAUUUUUUUGUUGCUGUUGUUAAUGUUGCUUGUUUUUUUCUUAUGCCCCCUGCAUCAGUCAGGAGAGAGAGCCUUGUAACUUGCCUCAGAAAAACAGUAGAGCUGGCUCUGCUGAUAUGAGUGAGGGGACCCAGAUCUGAAGGCCCAAGAGCAGGAGAGCUGGCCCCAUUCCUUGCUGUCCAGAACCAGAACUGGCCCACCCCAGCAUUCACGGAAUCUAUGAACUGUUGGAGCAUGUGAAGAACAACCUACAGAUCCAAAACAUCAGGAUCUCCAUGACACAGGACAACAGGGUAUCCAGAAGGAGCACCAUUGGAAGCCCGUAUUUGGCAGUGUAACAGAAACCAAAGGCCUUGAGCAAGAUCAAUAACUCAUGGCAAUGAACACUUGAACACUUGCAACUAAACUUGAAUGGACUGUGAGUCUCAACAGGCUAUACUGUAGCUUCCAUAGAAAACGUUGUAAGUGAUUUCAAGUAAAUUCUCAAUCAACAAUUAAAAGUGAAGCCUGACCUGAAACACCUGCAGUACAGAACGGCAUGAUAUGAAGUGCUCUGAAACAGAUGUGAAAAGAGAUAUUUAGUUCAAUUCUAAGGACACUUAUUUAGCUACCUCUGUAAAGAGGAAAUAUAUGGAUAUUAAUCCAACUUAGUUGACAACGUUACAAUUCUUGCUCUUCUAUAAAUUAUGUAUAGAAAAAUCCACAAUUUCACAAAUAAGACUACAAAGUUAUAAAGUCCUAUGAUAUGUGAUGUUUCAUGAAAAUUCUUUCAUGUAUUUGGAUCUUUCUUAACGUCCUUUUGAAAUUAAACUUUGUAUAAA
Mesocricetus auratus (golden hamster) is the source of this 3623-nucleotide long non-coding RNA. RefSeq lists it as uncharacterized. The transcript is spliced from 3 exons. NCBI's taxonomy places the organism in Eukaryota, Metazoa, Chordata, Mammalia, Rodentia, Cricetidae. The record is from RefSeq and is a predicted model, not a curated record.